Molecule: non-coding RNA, 3726 nt
Organism: Struthio camelus australis
Lineage: Eukaryota; Metazoa; Chordata; Aves; Struthioniformes; Struthionidae
Source: RefSeq, a predicted model, not a curated record
UUCAAUGACCAGUGCCUGCUAGUACACUUAAGAAGAGUACGUCGUCACUUCUCUCAUGGUCUGAAUCUCCUCUCCUUCAAAAAGUGAGGGUCUUGCCACUUGCUCCUGAAGGCAGCAGGGCGACAUUGCAAGGGGGAAGGAAAGCAACUGAACCCGACACGUCCUCAGGCUUCAGUCACUUGUUUUGGAAGUGGGGACUGUGAGGUGUUAGUGGUGGGACGUGGAGCAGUCGAGAAAGCCAAGGUUUUAAUUGUUGCUCCUGAACCCGUGGCUCUUUUUGCUCCCGCAGAACUCACUCACCGUCGUGGUGCCUCAGUGUCCAAGCUGAACCCCAGGGCUGGCAGCGCUCGCAGGGGACUGCAAAGCCCCUUCCACCGAGCGCAAUGCUCGGUGGCCCUCGGAGCAGCGAGUGCACAUCUGGUUCGAUGUGCGUCAAGGUUUAGCAGGAUGUGUCUUGCUUUCGGUGGGCAUCCUUCCAGAAAGAAGUUAAAAUGCAAACUGCAUGAAACGUGUUAUGUGACUGCAACAGACUACUACUAAUACUGACAUUCCACCAGGCAGAGGUAACACAGAUCAACUAAAGCACACUUUCCUUCCAACGUGCUGCUUAGCUGAAAUGGACCACCAAAAAUAGUGUCUACUUAAGGAUGGAGAUUUUUUCUUUCCCUGUAAAGUUAAAUGGACAUCACACCUGUCAUUCUGUGAAGUGGAAUCACUCCUGGAAGAUGGACUUGGCUGGCAGCCACCUCCUGACAGUGAGAGGCAGGUCUGAACAGCAAAGUUUGGAUCGAGAUCUGAACUUCUCUCACGUCCAAAUGUGCUUGGAUCCAGGACAUUGGCUGACACCCAUCUCCGCUACAUCUAUACUGUGAUUAUGUGUGAAUGGUCCUAUCACUUCACACUGCCGUCGAUGUAAUCACUUCCAUUUGGGCAUCCUUCUGAAAGAAAAUCUGCUGUCAUGAUGGCCAAUGUGUGAUGCUUUGCUGCAUGAAGAUUACCUCCUAGCCCCUACAAGACAUCAGUUUUUAUCUGAAAACAUGCAUGCUAGCUGACCUUUACUGAUGACAACUUCUGUAUUUACAGUUCUCACUAUUAAGGCAGCUUUAACUCCACAUUUCUGUGGGGGAUUCUUUCCCAGAUGCGUAUCAAAAUGCAAUAUACUUGGGAGACUUGUAUACAUGCAGUGGGCCUGAUUCUGCUGCUUCUUCCACUCACAUCUGUUAUAUGCUUGUGUAACCCCGUUGACUUCGGUGGAAUUGUUUCUGAUUGGAGUUAGAUGAAUACCAUAUUUUCCUACAUAUCACCCAUGGAUUAUCUGUAAAAACCAUGAUUCAUCAGCACUGCGGUUUAUACGCACAUGGAGAUUGCAUGGAGCAUUUAUACUUGGAUACCCUGUGCUGAGCUUCCACCAAAAAUGUCGUCUCAUUUUGUAAAAAAAUAUCCAGUGACUUUUCACCUCACAUACACUUCAGCUACUGUCAGAAGAAAAAUGCAAUAAAUAGUGCUAUGUGAAGAAAACAAAAUGAUUAUCCUUGCAACCUAAUAAGCAAUUACAAAGGGCAAAUUACUUGCACCCUCUGUAAUUUUUUGUCAUUAGAUAAUUAACAUCAGAGGUAUUAAUGAUCAUUUUAACAAAUUACCAUAUAAUUAUAAUGUGUUUCUUCAUUUAGUCAUACAUAUAGUACAAACCCUUCUAAGAUUUGUGUAUUAAUUGAAAAUACGUUAUUUAUUGGCUUAGCUGAGUAACAACCCACAGUGGUAACUAAACCUAUUAAGGAAAUGCUGGGCUGAUCAUAACUAGCUGUCAAUCUGUUGUUACCAGAGCAAUUCUUAGUGGAUGCAAGUGUCACUGACCAAACCCAAAUUAAGGAUCAAAUGAAAAAAUAUAAGAAGUCCUAGUAUUCACUAGGAUCAAAGACCUAGAAAUGCCACAUUUCUGACUCGUGUUAACUUCAUCAGGAAUGAAAGCUAAGAGUGGAACAAAUGCACGCGUGAGUUUACAGGGCCAGCACAUGCUGGUGGCAAUGCUGCUUCUUAGAUUAAUUAAUUUCAUAACAUUUCCAUAAUAGAGUUUUACUUAGUGUACUUUUCAUAAUCUAAUUUUAGUUCAAUUGCUUUGCACAAUCUGCUCAAAAUGUGUUUACGAUUCAGAAUUGUCAGAGUCCCCUUUUCAUUUUGUGCUUUGCUGCCUUUAUAAAAUCUGCCUAAAUUGGUGAAAUAAAUUAGAGGAAUGCUGCCAAAAACAUUUUUCCUACUAUCCUAACAUUUAAACUACUGCACUUGGGCCAGGUUUGCAGCACUUCCUGUGAAUCGUCUCCUAGAGGUAUGCGGACACGAGCGUGGCUGGAAGAGUGAACUUCAGGAGAAUGCUGCCGAUUUUUGGGAAGAGGAUUUUUGGAUUUGUUAUUAUGAGGAGGGGGGCUGGAAAGCUGAUUCCAAAUUACCCGUUUCCAAUUUGGGAAUAGAUAUGGCCCAUGUGACCUAAGCAUCUUGUCAAGACAGCUUGAAUUUGAAAUUGUGAAUAUGCAUGUGGAUGAGCUGCAGACCCAAAAUGAUUCACACAAUGAUAUGGCAUAUCUUUCUGAAUAGGCUGAAAUUCACCCCUGGGCAAAAGACCGGGAGAAAGCUCUCAACAUGUGGCUCAAGCGAGAUUUAAGAAGCCUCACGGCUUCACAGUGACCCCCUUGAACAGGAUCAAUUGCACAUACAACAUAUAUAUUGAGAAAAUCAAGAUCCACUUGCUGACAAUUCAUGAAGGGGGAAACUGUUUGGAAUAAAUUAUUCAUUACAGAACUACUCAGCUUUGGCAAUAAAUACGAAGGUUGAAGGAGAAUGGGAGCUAUUCUAGCUGUAAUGGUGUUUUACAGCCAUUUUCAAAUCUAGAGGCUUUAAGUUGAUAACCAGUUGAUAAUAACCUGCCAUUUUCUUCAUUUAUGUGCCUCCUGCGGGACUCUGGCUGGAUUCUGCCUUCUGAGAACCCCCACGUUCACAGGAUUCGAUACUCAGAGGAAUGAGCAUGACUGGGAAGUCAGUUCGGAGCGGUGGAUGGAGCUACCUGUUUCUCUUCCAUUUCAGAAGAAAUACUCCAAAUGCGCUAAUGAGAGAGAGCGAAGGAUGUGUUUGAGGAAGGCAGGCCAACCCCGAGCGCUUAGUGGGCGACAGAUCCACAGCUUUGCCCUGCAUCUGCUCUCGGGUAGGCGGUGACUGUCACUCCAGGGCUUAAUGCUUUGCAAAUGGCAACAAGGGCUUGCACCCAGCCUUCUCCGUCCCGUGUGAAACACAACCGGGGCUCCAUCAGGUUGCAUUAGUUAGCAAAUGACUUUGUCUUUAUUUUCCCUCCAGUUCCUUCCCAUUCUCUCUUUUGGUAUCUCUCCUCUGCUCCAUGCUAUUUUUUCUUGCCACAUUUUAGUCUCUACUCUGCUGAUGAAUUAGUUUGUUGCUCAGGGAGAAAAUUGAUCUUCACUCUUACAGAAGUUGCAAGACAAGUUAUGCUUAGUUCAGGCUGUGGUAUUUUGCUCACCCAUGCUAGGAUAAGAAAUAGGUGGUACUAAAUAUAUAGAAUUGAACUGCAGCUGCAGAAUCUAAACUAGAGACGCUCACUGAUAUUUACAUUUAAGGCCAUUCCCUUUAGCUCUUAAAACCACUGUACAUUUUUAAUAAUGUUUUAUCGGAGAGGUUUUCUUUGUGGAAAGAUUAAAGUGAGACAGGAUGGGUGUCUAGUGACUC